UCCUUUUUAUAAAAAUUGAAUUUUUUGUGGGCCCAUAUGAUGAUCUAUUUUUUAAGACAAGUGUUCGAUUAAAUGUAUGUACCACUUUGUAGCCAAUUUUUGAAACCCGAUUUCACUGUGACUAAUUUGGAAGACCGUUUCCGGAAAAAAAUGUCAUUCAAAGGCUUUCAAUUAAAGGUUUAAAAAGCCUAAUUCUACACUGAAGCCUUCCCCAAAUUAUGAGUCCCUGUCGAAGUCAACAUACUCCAUGACCUGCCAACCCUAAUAGUAGCUCGCCCAAGUCAAUGUUCUCCAUGACCCACCGUUGUGGGUCUCUGUUAGUUUGGCGACGUCCCGAACGCAUCUAACAAUAGUUGGUUGGUUGUGUUGGAGGCAGGAAGAGGAGCUGAGGAGGUGACUAUUCUGUUGGGGAUAAAAUGAUUAUCUGAAAACUUGGAAAAUGUGGCAAAUGCAAUGGCAUGGAAUUGUGAUGAUGAUUGUUGAUUAGCUUCGCAACUAAAUUUGAACGAAAUUCAAAGGCUUUCCACAGAAUCGCCCUAUGUUACCUCUGUUGGCCCUUUACUACCAUUGUUUCAACCUGAAUGCCAAUGACUAAGGGGGAGCCACAAGAAGGAUAAUUGAAAUUCUCCAAAUCUUUGACUCUACUACCUAUACCGGUGGAUCAUUUUUAUAGGUGUGUGAUCAAAUGCAACCACUUUCUAUGCCUCUAGCUUUGGUUCUUUCGCCUUGGAAGCUGGUUCAGUUCUCUCUUUUUUUAUUUUGCUUCUUUCGUAGAAUUGGCUUCAGCUUCAUCAAUUGCUAUGUUUAAGUCGUGUUCCUUAUAAGGAAAAAGGAUACUACCUUUCUUUACUUUGCUCCACGAAACUGGAUGACCCCUGUGUGUUUGUACAUGGUUUUUCUUUUGGAAAAUAAAGUAAAAGGAUUGAGGAGGAAAAUAGCAUUUUUGUAAUAUUUGUUGAAAUGAAUUCUGUAAUGGUUGUUCAGUCAUGAGUUAAGCCAGGCCAUUGCUUGAAAUUUGGUCAAAUGGAUAACCAACCUAUAUGACAGAAUGCAUGAAUGAGAUAUUGAUUUGAGAGUAAUGUGAUUAUGAAUAAAAA
This is a long non-coding RNA of Rhododendron vialii, 1097 nucleotides long. RefSeq lists it as uncharacterized. The transcript has 6 exons. NCBI's taxonomy places the organism in Eukaryota, Viridiplantae, Streptophyta, Magnoliopsida, Ericales, Ericaceae. The record is from RefSeq and is a predicted model, not a curated record.